GACGAACGCUGGCGGCGUGCCUAAUACAUGCAAGUAGAACGCACAGUUUAUACCGUAGCUUGCUACACCAUAGACUGUGAGUUGCGAACGGGUGAGUAACGCGUAGGUAACCUGCCUGGUAGCGGGGGAUAACUAUUGGAAACGAUAGCUAAUACCGCAUAAUAUUAAUUAUUGCAUGAUAAUUAAUUGAAAGGUGCAAUUGCACCACUACCAGAUGGACCUGCGUUGUAUUAGCUAGUAGGUGAGGUAACGGCUCACCUAGGCGACGAUACAUAGCCGACCUGCGAGGGUGAUCGGCCACACUGGGACUGAGACACGGCCCAGACUCCUACGGGAGGCAGCAGUAGGGAAUCUUCGGCAAUGGACGAAAGUCUGACCGAGCAACGCCGCGGGAGUGAAGAAGGUUUUCGGAUCGUAAAGCUCUGUUGUAAGAGAAGAACGGGUGUGAGAGUGGAAAGUUCACACUGUGACGGUAUCUUACCAGAAAGGGACGGCUAACUACGUG
Molecule: ribosomal RNA, 505 nt
Filed under: uncultured bacterium
Lineage: Bacteria
Description: partial 16S ribosomal RNA
Rfam family: Bacterial small subunit ribosomal RNA
Source: RNAcentral